Long non-coding RNA from Morus notabilis, 841 nucleotides. RefSeq lists it as uncharacterized. The transcript is spliced from 3 exons. The record is from RefSeq and is a predicted model, not a curated record. NCBI's taxonomy places the organism in Eukaryota, Viridiplantae, Streptophyta, Magnoliopsida, Rosales, Moraceae.
UUGAUCUUGAGUUGAUCUUGAGAGGAAAAUCAAUCAAAUUUAGAUUGAGAUGAGAUGAGCCAACAACAGCCUCAUUGUCAAGCCACUAUUAUCAUGCCUUACGCUCAGCCUCGGCUCUCAUUUCCGGCUUCAGCCUCCAUGGCCUCCAUGCCCCAAACUCAAACUCAAAUCCCGGUUUAUCAGCUCUCAUUUCCGGCUUCAGCCUCCAUGGCCUCCAUGCCCCAAACUCAAGCUCAAGUACACACUAACCUUCAGCCUCAAGCUCAAGCUCAAGUACACACUAACUAUGCGGAUCAAUUUUUCAUCCCUUUUCCUCCUCCUCAACCUCCCGCUUCAGCUCCGGCGAGUUCUUCUCAUAAACCUGAACAUCUAAUGCACAAGAAUCGCCUACAAGAAUGGACUCAGAAGUUGAACAUACCAUUGCCCAUUUAUCAAACCGUUAAUGAAGGAUUUCAAAACGCCCUACAGUUUAGAGCAAUUGUAUUAGUUGAUGGUGUCAAAUAUACUUCUCAAAAGACUUUUUCCACCAGUAAAGCUGCUGAACAAGAUGUUGCUGAACCGAACUUGCGCUGAACUAUAUAUCCCAGAAAAAGCCUGAUGAUGGAUUUCCACGGGGAUUUCCAGAUGCAUUGCCUCUUAUUCACAAGGACACAGUCUUUUGCAAGUCUAUCUUGAAUGAAUUUACUACUAAGAUGAAUAUGAAAAUGUCUACUUACAACACCAUUAAACCCGAAAGAUUGCUUCCGGUGUUCAAUUCUUCUUUGGUUUUAAAUGGUGUUUCUUACACUGGUGGUGCCGGUAAAAAUAAGAAAGAGGCUGAACAAUUGGCGGCUCGUACCUU